RNAcentral lists this unclassified non-coding RNA (348 nucleotides) under soil metagenome. Its description in RNAcentral is "partial contains 5.8S ribosomal RNA, internal transcribed spacer 2, and large subunit ribosomal RNA". The stretch from base 1 to 120 matches the Rfam family "5.8S ribosomal RNA", at positions 35 to 154 of the family's 154-position model. The record is from RNAcentral.
GAUGAAGAACGCAGCAAAAUGCGAUAAGUAAUGUGAAUUGCAGAAUUCAGUGAAUCAUCGAAUCUUUGAACGCACAUUGCGCCCGCUGGUAUUCCGGCGGGCAUGCCUGUUCGAGCGUCAUUUCAACCCUCAAGCCCCCGGGUUUGGUGUUGGGGAUCGGCUCUGCCCUUCUGGGCGGUGCCGCCCCCGAAAUACAUUGGCGGUCUCGCUGCAGCCUCCAUUGCGUAGUAGCUAACACCUCGCAACUGGAACGCGGCGCGGCCAUGCCGUAAAACCCCAACUUCUGAAUGUUGACCUCGGAUUAGGUAGGAAUACCCGCUGAACUUAAGCAUAUCAAUAAGCGGAGGA